Molecule: ribosomal RNA, 496 nt
Filed under: uncultured bacterium
Lineage: Bacteria
Description: partial 16S ribosomal RNA
Rfam family: Bacterial small subunit ribosomal RNA
Source: RNAcentral
GAUGAACGCUGGCGGCGUGCCUAAUACAUGCAAGUCGAGCGAACGGACGAGAAGCUUGCUUUUCUGAUGUUAGCGGCGGACGGGUGAGUAACACGUGGAUAACCUACCUAUAAGACUGGGAUAACUUCGGGAAACCGGAGCUAAUAUCGGAUAAUAUUUUGAACCGCAUGGUUCAAAAGUGAAAGACGGUCUUGCUGUCACUUAUAGAUGGAUCCGCGCUGCAUUAGCUAGUUGGUAAGGUAACGGCUUACCAAGGCAACGAUGCAUAGCCGACCUGAGAGGGGGAUCGGCCACACUGGAACUGAGACACGGGCCAGACCCCCACGGGAGGCAGGAGUAGGGAAUCUUCCGGAAUGGGCGAAAGCCUGACGGAGCAACGGCGCGGGAGGGAUGAAGGUCUUCGGAUCGUAAAACUCUGUUAUUAGGGAAGAACAUAUGUGUAAGUAACUGUGCACAUCUUGGCGGGACCUAAACAGAAAGCCCAGGCCAACUACGG